GAUGAAGAACGCAGCUAAAUGCGAUAAGUAAUGUGAAUUGCAGAAUUCAGUGAAUCAUCGAAUCUUUGAACGCACAUUGCGCCCGCCAGUAUUCUGGCGGGCAUGCCUGUUCGAGCGUCAUUUCAACCAUCAAGCCCCGGGCUUGUGUUGGGGACCUGCGGCUGCCGCAGGCCCUGAAAUGCAGUGGCGGGCUCGCUGUCACUCCGAGCGUAGUAGUUACAUCUCGCUCUGGGCGUGCUGCGGGUUCCGGCCGUUAAAAGCCUUAUUUACCCAAGGUUGACCUCGGAUCAGGUAGGAAGACCCGCUGAACUUAAGCAUAUCAAUAAGCGGAGGA
This 334-nucleotide unclassified non-coding RNA is filed under the name soil metagenome. RNAcentral's name for it is "partial contains 5.8S ribosomal RNA, internal transcribed spacer 2, and large subunit ribosomal RNA". The stretch from base 1 to 120 matches the Rfam family "5.8S ribosomal RNA", at positions 35 to 154 of the family's 154-position model. The record is from RNAcentral.